Long non-coding RNA from Lepus europaeus (European hare), 3021 nucleotides. RefSeq lists it as uncharacterized. The record is from RefSeq and is a predicted model, not a curated record. The transcript is spliced from 9 exons. Lineage: Eukaryota; Metazoa; Chordata; Mammalia; Lagomorpha; Leporidae.
GUGUUGGUGAAAUCUCCAUAAUCAGGAUACUCAUGACCUGAGGGCUUAUGAUUUUUGCUAUGGUUCAUACCUAGCCUCCUGCUCCUCACUUUACUGUGCACAUUAUCUGAAGGCCAGUAGUACUUGUCAGUAUUAUAUACUUGUUAAAAAGCAUUUGCACUAGGUAUCAUUCUUUUUCUUGAAGUUUUCCUCAGUUGAUCAAUUUUUACAGUGUCCUGUGAUCAGAACGGAGGAUCUACUUCUGAAAUAAUUAUUCCUACCACUUAGUUGGUGACUCUGAAAGACUCAAAGAGAAUUUGUUUACUGAAAUUUAUGAUGUGGCAUCAUUGUGGAUCCUAGCCAGCCAGUAGCGGUACAACAAGGCUGAAAAUCGUGUUAGCUGUAUUUAGGACAGAAACAUAAACUAUUCCAGCUAAAAGGAAGCUUGCCCUUGAGUCACAGAAGGCACAAGCAUAGCAUAUGCUGAGAUGGAAACAUGGACAUGUCAAAUUGGGACUUUCACCUCUUCCAUAAAAAUGUGCCAGCAUUCUAGGGAAGCAUAUUGAAACACAAACACAGGAAUCUUCGUUCCAGAAAACUAUGUGUGUGAUCAAAGAGAAUAUGAUGAGAGAUUAAUGGAAAGAAUGAGUUAUUAGUAAGUGAGUGGAGAGAAAAAGAGUAAAGAAAGUUUUUGGACUUGAGUUGUACAAAGCAAACCAGUUCUCUACUGGAAUGGUGUUAUAAGAGAGUGUGUAGCUACUUUGUAACAUUAUCUACUUUCAUUGGUACUCUACUGGGUUGGAAAUGCUGAAGAAUGUGGACCUAUUAAGGUUAAGUCUUAGUCAUUCCCCAUGAUAAAGCAACUGAACAAGAAACACAGAUUUCAAGCAAGUCAUUUCAAGAAGAGGCUAUUAGACAGCAGUGCAGCAAAUAAUUAAGUGAAACAGUAUUGGAAUGCCCAAGAAAAAGAAGUUUGAAGAUGGAAAUUGAGGUGAUCAUGUUGAAAGAAAGAUAUAUUUGCAACUAACUUGAGUAUGUAUGAAAUAAUCUGGAACAGCUUCCUGUGGAGUACUUUUAAUUUGUGGAUCUGCAUUGAAAGUAAUAGGUAUGAUAGAUCCAAAAGGGCCACUUCUCAUCUUUGUUUGCUGAAUGACCUGUUACAAUAAUUUUUCAUCCAAAUAUUCUUCACUCCGAUCUCUCUCUGGAAUAUCCAUUUGGCGGUGAUGACUGAAAAGAAGCUAUCCCACCAGUUUCAGCAGAAACAUUUGGUCUUCAAAAUGCAAAAUGACUGUUGCCUUAAUAUGAGUUGUGGUGGAAACUCCUUGCAGAUCAGAAAAACUGGACUUUUUUGACAAGUGACCGAAGAGAUUUCAUUGAAGAGAAUAUUCACUAGACCUAAUUAUUGCUCUCAUUAUUACUGUUGCCCUGAAUCAAAAGACUUGGAAAGUCAGGACAUUAUUGCUCAGAGAAGCUCUGGAUGGUGGAAUUACAAGGGCUUCAUAUGAGUGCUUCCAUAAGUAUGAAGUGCAUGUGUUUAUAAUUAUCAGUUACCACAGAGUGAACUCAAAGGAGAUAGAAUUUUAUGGAAUGUAGUAUUUUUACACCUUAUAAGUAUUUGCAUUCUUUCUAAUGAUAUCUACUAUUGUUGAGUUUUUUGCAUAUCAACAGGGAGUUUAUUUAUUUUUUAUUUAGUAAAUAUAAAUUUCCCAAGUACAGUUCAUGGAUUACAAUGGCUUCCCCCCCCCCAUAAUUUCCCUCCCACCCUCACCCCCCCAUUUCCCGCCCCUCUCCCAUUCCAUUCACAUCAAGAUUCAUUUUCAAUUAUCUUUAUAUAUAGAAGAUCGAUUCAGUAUAUACUAAGUAAAGAUUUCAUCAGUUUGCACCCACACAGAAACACAAAAUGUAAAAUACUGUUUCAGUACUAGUUAUAGCAUUACUUCACACUGGACAAUCCAUUAAGGAAAGAUCCCACAUGAGAAGUAAGUACACAGUGACUCCUGUUGUUGACUUAAUAAUUUGACACUCUGUUUAUGGCAUCAGUAAUCUCCCUAGGCUCUAGUCAUGAAUUGCCAAGGCUAUGGAAGCCUUUUGAGUUCGCCGACUUCGAUCUUAUUCAGACAGGGUCAUAGCCAAAGUGGAAGUUCUCUCCUCCCUUCAGAGAAAGGUACCUCCAUCUUUGAUAGCCCUGUUCUUUCCACUGGGAUCUCACUCACAGAGACCUUUCAUUUAGGUCUUCUUUUUUUUUUUCCAGAGUGUCUUGGCUUUCCAUGCCUAAAAUACUCUCAAGGGGUUUUCAGCCAGAUCUGAAUGCCUUAAGGGCUGAUUCUGAGGCCAGAGUGCUGUUUAGGACAUCUGCCAUUCUAUGAGUCUGCUGUGUAUCCCGCUUCCCAUGUUGGAUCGUUCUCUCCCUUUUUGAUUCUAUCAGUUAGUAUUAGCAGACACUAGUCUUGUUUGUGUGAUCCCUUUGACUCUUAGACCUAUCAGUGUGAUCAAUUAUGAACUGAAAUUGAUUACUUGGACUAGUGAGAUGGCAUUGGUACAUGCCAUCUUGAUGGGAUUGUAUUGGAAUCACCUGGCACAGGAGUUAGAAAUGUGCCAGGGGAGUUUAAUUUUUUUCCAUGAGCUUCUAUGUAGUGAGCAGUCUCAAUUUUAGUUUGUUGCAAUUUCCAGGGCUAAACAUAUACAACAUCUAUAUUUGAGUGGUUUUCCACUAAUUGGAGAAAGUCUUACCAGAGUUUGGAUGAUAAUUCCUCAUUUCCUAAAAUUGCAUGUGUGUGUAUGUGUGUGUGUAUAUAUUAGAUAUCAAUAUUUUAAUAAUAAUGCUUCAUAAGAAUUUUCUUGUCAUGUAAAUGUUGAAUGAGGUCAUCUUCAUAUAGCCUUAGUCUCUUUGUUGUGAAUUGUAAGGGUUCAUUUAUGCUCAAGUAUGUUAACAUUUUGACAUUCAUUACAAAUGAAAUAACAUGCUUUUCCCUUUUAAUGUAGUGUUACUUUUGUUUGAUGGAAUUUAUGUACUGAAAAUACAACCAUGUUUCUGUUAUGGUC